AAGAGACAGCAGUCGCCGCGGGAAUACGAAGGGUGCAAGCGUUACUCGGAAUUACUGGGCGUAAAGCGUGCGUAGGUGGUGGUUUAAGUCCGUUGUGAAAGCCCUGGGCUCAACCUGGGAAUUGCAGUGGAUACUGGGUCACUAGAGUGUGGUAGAGGAUAGUGGAAUUUCCGGUGUAGCGGUGAAAUGCGUAGAGAUCGGGAGGAACAUCAGUGGCGAAGGCGGCCAUCUGGGACAACACUGACGCUGAGGCACGAAAGCGUGGGGAGCAAACAGGAUUAGAUACCCCCGUAGUCCCUGUCUCUUAUAC
RNAcentral lists this ribosomal RNA (310 nucleotides) under uncultured bacterium. Its description in RNAcentral is "partial 16S ribosomal RNA". It matches the Rfam family "Bacterial small subunit ribosomal RNA", at positions 503 to 807 of the family's 1533-position model. The record is from RNAcentral.